Molecule: unclassified non-coding RNA, 246 nt
Filed under: uncultured fungus
Lineage: Eukaryota; Fungi
Description: partial contains 5.8S ribosomal RNA, internal transcribed spacer 2, and large subunit ribosomal RNA
Source: RNAcentral
AACGCACAUUGCGCCCCUUGGUAUUCCAUGGGGCAUGCCUGUUCGAGCGUCAUUUGUACCUUCAAGCCCUGCUUGGUGUUGGGUGUUUGUCUGCUGCUCCAGCAGACUCGCCUCAAAUGCAUUGGCAGUCGGCCAUCUCGUAGUAGAGCGCAGCACAUUUUGCACUUUCUACCAGCACGGUCGGCACCCAAUAAGCCUACUCUCACGUUUGACCUCGGAUCAGGUAGGGAUACCCGCUGAACUUAA